UACGUAGGGGGCAAGCGUUGUCCGGAUUUAUUGGGCGUAAAGAGCGUGUAGGCGGCUAGGUAGGUCCGUUGUGAAAACUCGAGGCUCAACCUCGAGACGCCGGUGGAAACCAUCUAGCUAGAGUCCGGAAGAGGAGAGUGGAAUUCCUGGUGUAGCGGUGAAAUGCGCAGAUAUCAGGAAGAACACCCGUGGCGAAGGCGGCUCUCUGGGACGUGACUGACGCUGAGACGCGAAAGCGUGGGGAUCGAACAGG
Molecule: ribosomal RNA, 253 nt
Filed under: uncultured bacterium
Lineage: Bacteria
Description: partial 16S ribosomal RNA
Rfam family: Bacterial small subunit ribosomal RNA
Source: RNAcentral